GUUGGAGCAAGAAGAUAAAUUUAAAAAGAAAAUUAGAAGGUUAAAAUAACUAAGGUCAAAGUUAAAAAUGAGGUCAGUUAUGAAAUAAUUUAAAGCAGAUAUUCUAAGUAAGUAAAGGUUGAAAGCCAACAGGGUAAUAAGGUAAGAUUUAAAAUAGGACAUGAGAUACUUUAAUCCUUCAUGAGAGUAGGAUUAAAGAUAAAAAUAAUCAGAUGAUUUAUAUGGAUGUUAAGAUAUCAUCAAACAUAAAAAAAAAGUUUAAGUUAGAAGUAAAAAGAAGAGAAAACAUACAAGGAGUAAGAGGGCUUGGAGCUUAUCUGUCUUUUCCCCCAAAAUAAUCUUUUAAUGGAGUAGUGGUGUCUUAAUGGGGUAAAAACCCAAGAGGACAGAGAGCAAUGUGACACCUUGGUCAUGGAGGCUCCCCUUUGCUCCCCUCAGCAAGUACCAGAAUGCCAGCCUCACCAGCAGUAACCAGAGAAGACAGACAGGAGGUUUCAUACAGCAAACUCACAGCUGGAUGGCACCAACCUGACCCAGGAGAAACUCCCUGGCCUGCCAGCUACAUUCCCUCCUGGAUUAUCUCCUCCAAAUUUAGCCCAUGCACAGAGUCAGGGGAACUACCCUCUCGAGAUCAAUAACCUAUGAAAACUCAGGUUUCAACAGUUGUCUCGUGUCUCUAGAAAGUUUAAGGACUGGCCCAGCCUCCAGAGUUUUUAAAAAGGUAUUUAUUCAAUAAAUGUUUAUUGAGCCUCUUCCCUGUCCCAGGCAGCGUACUAGACUCCAGGAAUGCGAUGAUGAAUGAACAACAGAUCUCUCUUAACAGAGGUCCAGACUUGUUACAUGCGGCGGAUAGGGAAGUUUUAACAGGUAGUUUCAAUGCAUCACCAACGGCACAAGUGGAAGCCUUGGCUUUGAGCAGGAGGAGGGUCACAUUUCCUCUGCAGCUGGAAGGAAAGUGAGGACACGGGAGGAGGAAAGCAGGGAGGGCUGAAAGCUGGGGAAAGCAGGACAAGGAAGGAAAUGGAAGAGAGUGAAACCAGAAGGGAAGGUUUAAGCCUUCACACAUUCUUCAUGACUGUAUGAAGUAUACUAUGCUUUAGUAUACCUUCUGUGUUUAGAAAGUUAAUUGACUGGGCGCGGUGGCUCACGUCUGUAAUCCCAGCACUUUGGGAGGCCAAGGCGAAUGGACCACAAGGUCAGAAGUUCGAGACCAGUCUGCCCAACAUGGUGAAACCCUGUCUCUACUAAAAAUACAAAAAUUAGCUGGGCAUGGUGGCAGCGCCUGUAAUCCCAGCUACUCGGGAGGCUGAGGCAGGAGGAAUUGCUUGAACCCUUGAACCCGGGAGGCGGAGGUUGCAGUGAGCCGAGAUCGUGCCACUGCACUCCAGCUCUGUGGGACUGAGCAAGAC
This 1409-nucleotide long non-coding RNA is filed under the name Homo sapiens (human). RNAcentral's name for it is "HSALNT0186925". Lineage: Eukaryota; Metazoa; Chordata; Mammalia; Primates; Hominidae. The record is from RNAcentral.